Tupaia belangeri chinensis (Chinese tree shrew) is the source of this 258-nucleotide long non-coding RNA. RefSeq lists it as uncharacterized. The record is from RefSeq and is a predicted model, not a curated record. NCBI's taxonomy places the organism in Eukaryota, Metazoa, Chordata, Mammalia, Scandentia, Tupaiidae. The transcript is spliced from 3 exons.
GACCGAAGCCCCGCGCCCCUUUGCUGAGGCGAGGGACGCGAACCCCAAGCGAAGACGCCGAGGCCGGGGGAGGCCCUGCGGUGCGUGAGCGCCCACGGGAGCUGCGGGUGCCAACUCGGAGUUUCGCUUUCUAACUUCGCGUGCCUCUGCGAACCGUCAACAUUCCACAGCCAGCAAUGUAAAUUGAGAAAAGCGGAGCAUUGCAAAGUGGGAGGAAAAACAUCAUGUCCCAUUACCAAAGAUUAUUUCCCUGAAAGG